CGCCGCGUGGAGGAUGAAGGUUUUAGGAUUGUAAACUCCUUUUGUUAGAGAAGAUUAUGACGGUAUCUAACGAAUAAGCACCGGCUAACUCCGUGCCAGCAGCCGCGGUAAUACGGAGGGUGCAAGCGUUACUCGGAAUCACUGGGCGUAAAGAGUGCGUAGGCGGGGUAAUAAGUCAUAUGUGAAAUCCUGUAGCUUAACUACAGAACUGCAUUUGAAACUGUUACUCU
RNAcentral lists this ribosomal RNA (230 nucleotides) under uncultured bacterium. RNAcentral's name for it is "partial 16S ribosomal RNA". It matches the Rfam family "Bacterial small subunit ribosomal RNA", at positions 395 to 642 of the family's 1533-position model. The record is from RNAcentral.